Molecule: ribosomal RNA, 515 nt
Filed under: Lumbricus terrestris (common earthworm)
Lineage: Eukaryota; Metazoa; Annelida; Clitellata; Crassiclitellata; Lumbricidae
Description: partial large subunit ribosomal RNA
Rfam family: Bacterial large subunit ribosomal RNA (bases 50-389)
Source: RNAcentral
UCUAUAAGCCGCUUAAAAAUUACCCUCUAACCGAAGAGUGUUAGAUAGCGUCGAAGGACAAGAAGACCCUAUAGAGCUUAAUUUAAAUAAAUAUAAAAAAUUUACUAAAAUUCGGUUGGGGCGACCAGGGAACUACACAUCAUCCCUAAAUAAAAGAUAAAUAUAUCAAAAUACUGACCCUUAUACAAGAUCACUAAAACAAGCUACCUUAGGGAUAACAGGCUAAUCUCACUGGAGAGUCCUUAUCAAUAGUGAGGAUUGGCACCUCGAUGUUGGCUUAGGGAAUCUCUAUGACGCAAAAGUCAUAUAAAGAUGGUUUGUUCAACCAAUAACACCCUACAUGAGCUGAGUUCAGACCGGCGUAAGCCAGGUUAGUUUCUAUCCUCGAUCACUCUAUCUAUUUAUAGUACGAAAGGACCUAACUAGAGUAAUAUUUAUACACAGGGAAUAAAUAUAAACCAGUAAUAAGUAAAAUAUAUCUUAAACUAUGAGUAAGUUGGCAGAAUAGUGCCACC